This 1815-nucleotide long non-coding RNA is filed under the name Equus asinus (donkey). RNAcentral describes it as "lncRNA (ENSEASG00005032218.1)". Lineage: Eukaryota; Metazoa; Chordata; Mammalia; Perissodactyla; Equidae. The record is from RNAcentral.
CCUGUUCCACCAAGUUCAUUGACAAGAGGUCAGAUGCCCAUCAGGCUCAAGCGCGCUGUCCAUGAUGAGAUGGGGGAUGGGGAGAAGGGGUGAGAAGGCAAAAUCGGGAAAAACAUCCCUUCCUACAAAACCUUUGUCAAUGGCCACUGGCCACCACAUUCUCAGAAUACCGACUAAGUUUCCUCGUAGCAAAUUUCCAUGCUUGUGUCACCUCACGUGCUCUCACAAUGUUCCCGGUCCCGUGGGAAUAACAGGGAGGCCAACAGCGGCUUUACCUCCCUUUUACACAAAAAGGAAACUGAGGCAGCAAGUGGUUAUCUUUACAAGUUGUCCUCAGCGAUCUGGUCACUUGCGGGACCCCAAAGGAAGCCCGGAUAUGGAGUCUUGGAGAGAAUCCUCCAUCCUCGACUUAACGUGUCAAACUCUGGGGCUGGGGAAGCUAAGUCCCUUCAUCAGGAAGGAAAAACCAGGCUUCCCCAUUUGGACCUUGCGCGGCCGGCCUCGCCCGCCGGCUCCCAGGGGAGAAGGCGCGGGCCCGUGCGGGGCGCGGCCCCACCGCCUCGCACGCCGGGCCCCUCCCGCCGCAGAGGGCGCGCUCGCGCCCGGGCGGGCACCUGUCCCCUCCCCACCUUCGGCGGCUCCGCGGACCAAGCAAGGGUCCGACGCCCCACAGCCACUACCAGCUGGGGACCGCCGGCAGCAGGGCGAGCGCCGCAGGCCCAGUGGGCUGCAGGAAUCCUCCGAAACUUACAGUUUUCCUACAGCGUGCGCGUCACGGCGAGGUGACGUCACGGGCCCCGGCGUUCCGGGAGGUCAGGCCGCAGGGCGCGGACCACUCGGCCCCACGGCUCCGCCCCAGCGCGCCGGCGGGAGGGACGCCCCUUUGCUCAGCGGCCCCGCCCCCGCCGUGGAGCGCUGGGCGCAGGCGCGGAAAGCGCGGCCGCCGCCUGGCGGGCUUCGCAGGCCGGGACGCUUCGGGCGGGGGCUGCUUUGCUGGAGCUUCGUUUAAAGCGUGUGGCGGGGGUUCAAUAGAAGGGGACGAAGACCCCCGGGAACACAGCAAACAGGCUGUCGCCCAGGUGGUCGGAGUGGGACGCCAGAGUUGUGAGAAUCAAGACCAAGGGAAACAAAAUCCCACUUGGCAACCCCCACGCAUCCCUCUCAGCGCCCGGAUCUGGUCUGAAAGAUCUGUUCCCAGGAACUUCCUCAGAGAAGCUUUCCCUAAGCUGUCUUUGCUCUUAGCCUUGGAAUUAUUUUAAUUUCCUCCUUUGCUGGACUAUAAGUUCUGUGAGAGAAGGGACCAUGUUGGCCUCAUUCAACCUCAAAUCCUCUUCUUGUAGCUGAGUCCCCUACCCUCGCUAUGGAUUCUUUGAAGACAGAGAUGGAUUUACUCAACUUUGUGUCCUUAGCACCUAACACAGUUCCUGGCACAUAAAAGGCAUUUGACAAAUUCCUUGACUUCAGUUGAAGAAGGGAUGUCAUCUCCCUGACAGGGUGACAAGAUGGGUACAAUGGAGGAGGCAAAAGUCAUGACUGUUGUCACCAAAACCCUUGGUUAUCCCCAAGGCCCUGAUGGCCUAGGAAAAUAAAGUCACAACUUCUCUGAGCAUUAUCCCAGUUAAAUUGUCUCUGGCUCUAAAGGAAUGUAAUAGAGCCCACUGGCAAUUAAUUCAGCAUGCCUCUUUUCUACUUGACAAAUCGUCAUUUAUUAUUUUACCCUUCGUGUUGGGUUCAGGCAAUUUUUAAUCAAUUAAAGCAGUUAUAUUAAGGCAAUUAAAGCAAAAUUUUAAAAUCUGAUUUUGCAAACUCAGAUCC